Molecule: ribosomal RNA, 253 nt
Filed under: uncultured bacterium
Lineage: Bacteria
Description: partial 16S ribosomal RNA
Rfam family: Bacterial small subunit ribosomal RNA
Source: RNAcentral
UACGGAGGGGGCUAGCGUUGUCCGAAGUUACUGGGCGUAAAGCGCGCGUAGGCGGGUUGGUAAGUCCGCUGUGAAAGCCCGGAGCUCAACUCCGGAGGGUCGGUGGAUACUGCCAGUCUUGAAGGUGCUAGGGGGAGAUGGAAUUACCGGUGUAGCGGUGAAAUGCGUAGAUAUCGGUAGGAACACCAGUGGCGAAGGCGGUCCCCUGGGGCAUUCUUGACGCUGAGGCGCGAAAGCGUGGGUAGCAAACAGG